CUUGAAGUAAGUGGAAGGCAGAGGUAGCAGUCCCCAGAAUAUCCUGCACUCUGGAAAAAAAGGAAUUGUUGAGGAGCUCAGCAUUGGCCCAGGGUUUAGCUUUUACUCUUAUGGGAUCCCUUCCUCUUUCUCUCUCAGUGUGUCCCACUGGCUGGUGAGAGAUCUGUAUGUCUGAACUUCCUGUUUUAACACCUUGGAAGUUGUUAUGCACGUGCCCUAUCUAGCUCCCUAAGCCAUGAAGGAGGGGAAGAAAACAUCUCAGAGGUGGCAGUGCCAUGAUGUCCAUCCAGGAGAGAGGCUAAGGAGAAGAAACAUUGACCAGAGAGGGAGCCAGGAGGAGAUGCCUGCUCCUGAAACAGCCUCUUUACCCAGUUCUCUCCCACGCCCCCUCUCACAUGCUGACAAGGCUGUGUGCCCAAGUGUGCCAGCUCUCCUGGCUGGCGAUCCUGCUCUGCCGUGCAGGCAGCCGGCUUUCUGCUCCAGGACAGAGCACGUGCUGGGGUCUCUUGCACUCCUUUGCUCACUCAUCUCAAUGUUUUCAUGUUGCAGAUUCCUAGAGAUGAAGGAGGGAGCUCUGGCCCUGCAAGUAGGAAGACAGUGGGCUCCAGGGCCCUUUGGGUGCAUAUCUGCUUGGCUGGAGGAGGCGGGAGGAAGAAGGCUGCUGGCAGCUCAGCUGAGCUCAAGAUUCUGGUGACUCAUAGCAAUGGGGGCGGCUCAUGAAAGCAACAGAAAGGAAAGAGGUCCAGGCCUGUAAGAGCUCUCUUUUACCCCAUUUCUCCCUGACUCUCAGCUCUGUGGAUGAAGGUCUCUCAUCUAGAUUGUGGGGCAAGAAAAGACCCUAGAAAGAAGGGAAGGAAAUGGGAGAGAAGAGAACAGGAGAAGCUGAGCAUUCCCAGUGAGAGGAUUCCCAGUAAGGAAAGAAUAGGAGAGGCCAGUUAUUCUUGCCUUACUGUAUCCAUUGGCUGCACAGAGAGUUCUGGGCAUGCACAUGUGCUGGGGUGGCUCAGCACUGCUGGGCACCUUCCCAGGAGUUUUCUAGGCAGACACAGCUACUCCUCCCUGCCCUCACUACUUGUCCAGAGCUCUAGGUACCCAGCUGAUACCACGUGACUUAGGAAUUUUUUUUUCAAAAAAGCAUUGUUACAAGACAAGAACCUGAAAAGGUUACCACUUGGUAACCUCAGUACUCGCUUCCUUGGAAACAGACACCGUAGAUCUCCAAAGGUGCUAAUUUCCUCUUCCCUUACAGGUCAGGUUGGCAAUGUGCAUCUUCUCCAUCCUUUCUGAAUUAGGAGGAUGAUAGGAUACUGUGUUUGAGAUCACACCAGCAGAAAGGGACCAGAAGGUGGACCAAGAGAACCAUUCAUGCCUCCAACCACAGUCCCAGGGGCCUCGUUGUUUCAGCAAAAGGAAACAGGGAUCUUGGAUACCAAUGUAUCUGGAUACAUAAUAAUAAAUACCCUUCCUGUAACGUCAGAGAAGGAUUUACUAAGAGGAAGGGGGUUCUCUGAUAGCCUGAGUUUUCAAUUGCCUAUUUCUAUUCUUUUCAUUGCUUGUGGCUCUGCUCUCCAGCUGGUGUGAGGGUCUCUCUGCUCCUGGAGAUCCACAGACAGUUUUGGUUGGAGAAAGGGACAGACAAACUGCUCUUCAUGUAGAGAGAUGGGACCAGCUGCACUCCCCCAGCUCUCCCUUGCAGCAUUAGGAGCCCAAAGGACCUUGCUGGAACACCCGUAAUAGAGCUCAGUCCUGAACUGAACCAACACAUCACCUGGCUCUCGUAUAAAAGUGGUGCUAUGAGGGGGAGCCUGGGUGCACCAGGUGGGGUGUAGGCAGAUGUGGGGAGUUCAGCCCCAGGAGAGAGAGAAGAAUCACUCCUCAAUACCAUAUGCUCCUCCUCUUUCUCAAACCUCCUUGGCCCCUCUUUUUUUCUACCUCCCUUCAGCCAACUCCACUCCUGGGCACCUUAUCCCCUCCAAUCUGAGAAGACAUGGUAAGUAGUUGUCUGUUCCCUACACUUUUGUAUCUCUCAUUCUCCUCCUUUGCUUCCAAUUCCUAGCCAAGAGUUACCCCAUUUGAACUCUCCACCAGUGAUGCCAUCAGGAUCUGAACCUAGAAUCCCCAGCCUCUCCCAACCCUCUGACUCUGAGAAUGCCACUCUGACUCAUCAGUCCUCCUCCUCCCCACAAGUACCGCCAGGCCAAGACUAGUAUGUCCACCAGCACCAAGGACCCUGACCUGAAGCAGAGGGCAGCCCUAGGGGGUGCAUUGGGGCCCAGCCCUAAAUGCGUGUAUGCCUGUGCAUUGGGCACACUGGUUUAUUAGUGUUAUUUCAGCAUUGUGAUGCAGAGAGAGUAAGUGUAACAGCUGCUCCUUGCUUGCAGUGUUUAUUGUUACCUAGAGACAACCUCCUGGCUUUUUCCCAGCUCCCCCUCCCCCCAGCCCAACCCCCUCCCUGCCAACAGGCCUACUCUCCCCACACUGAUGGGAAAUUUAUAGCUUGCCCAUACCAUGCCUUUAACCCUCUCCUGUCCAUAGGAUAGGUGGGGUGAGGGAAGCCAAAGUAAGCAGUGGUAGCCCCAGCAGGGUAGAAUAGUGUGGAGCAGGGAGGGAAGGAGGGAGAAGACAUCUCCCCUCCCCAAUCUGUGUGUCCAGACUCAGGUCCCAGUUGCCCUCCUGGGUCUCCUGUUGAGAGAAAAGAACUUUGGACCUAGCCUUGGGAUCCCAGCAUCCUCCUCACAACAUAAUUCUCUUCCCUGGGCACCUCUGAGUCCCCUAUUUGGGCUGCUUGGUCCUGGGCAAGUACAUCAAGGUAGUAUUGAAACAAGAGGAGUAAAUACAGAGGGGCAGAACCCCCAGCCCCCUCCUUUCUAUAGAGAUGUCAUAUUGAGACAAACAAGAGGCUGUGGCAUGAGGGAUGCUGGCCAGAUCUCCAUAGCUAGAUCUCCACAGGUAGAUGUCAAACAUGAACCUGGCUGCUGAGCCUAGUGGGAAAAACUCAAAUUCACCCUGAUCCCAAAACAGGUCCUGAGAGACACUCAGGCCAUCCUUUAAGCUGGUCUUCUUGGUCUGGUUAGGCUACUCCUUUCUGCUUUUCUUCUGGUCCAUUUUCUCCUGCUCAUCUUUUGGUUUGAUACCUUAGGGCAGAUCCAAGAGACCAAGGGGACUGAGGCAUCCUAGUCAGUGUCUCAACAGAACUGGGGAAGCUCCUCUCUCCCCUCCUGACGUAGGACUUUUCAUGGAGAGGAACCAUAUCAUAUAUUCACCAUCCCCACUGGAAACAAGAGGAAAAGGGAUCAGAUUUUACCAGAAAGGAUAGAGCUUAGACAUAUGGAAAAACUUACUCAUGGGCUGUAAGACUUCAGAAUGGGCCUACUUCUCAUCAGAGAUUUUUCUUCUGCCUGGGAUGUGUUUAAGUCUACCUAAGGGGCACUGGAAAAACAGGGUUACUUUUCUGGGGCUCCUCCAGAUGUAGGUCCCUGUGCAGUUUCCACACAGUGCACCCCUCCUCAGCCCUUCUAAAUGUAUGUGUGGUGGUUAGAUCGCAAGUUUUGGAAGCAGACAGCCUUGGGUUCUAGUCCCAGCACUGCCAUUUAUCAGCUGUGCUACCUUGGUAAGUCACUUAACCUUUUUGAGCCCUAAUUUCCUUGUCUGUGAAAUGCAGAUAAACAAUCUCUUAAGGUUGUAGAGAGAAUUUAGUGAAAUAAUGUGCAUAGAGCACCUAGGACAGUGCCUCAUACUCAGUGGGUGCUUAGUCAACCAUUGAUGCAAUAGUCUAUUACUUUUAUGCAGUCAGCAGGGCUGAAAUUGCUUCAAAGACUCCAUGAGUCCCCUGAAAUUGUAGGCCAAAUGUGUUUAUGUGCAUAUACUGGGGAGAAUGUCCAUACUUUUCUUCAUGAUGUGGGGGGGGGGGGGGGGUGCCAGUCUCCUGGAAAGGAAGUAGCCCCAAUCUCUUGACUCAGACUCCCCAAGAAGUCAGUUCCGUCAUUCCCAUGCCUCUCAAGCCAGGAGCACCUUAGGCAGUGUUCUUCUACCUGGAAGUACAGCUUCAUCUAAGAUGGAGCUGGGGAGAGACAGCCAUUAGGAUAGCAACACCUUGCAUUUGCCAGGCACUUUACAGUUUGUCAAGUACAUUUACCUACAUUUGCUCUUUUGAUACCCAGAACAUGACAGUAAAGUGAAGCGAACUAUCAUUUAUUGAGUGUCUAAUAUGUGCCAGGCAUUGUGCUAGGUGUAUUUUUUUUAAGUAUGUUUAAAGUCUGUAAAGUGUUUCGUCACCUAGAUAUGCUGUGAUUUAUAACGCUCAUCUCCUAUUUUUAAUCAUUUAGAUAUUUUUACUGAAAUAAUAUCACAAUGAACAUCUUAAGAUAUAAAACUUCAUGCAUUUUUUAUAGUAAAUUCUAAGAAGUGGAAUUAUUGGGUCAACAGAUACAGAUAUCCUCCCCUCUCUAUAGUUAUGAUCAUUUUAUUGAUGAACCCUAAUGAGAAUAAUAUUUUUUAAUCUUCCUCUUUGGAAUUCUGCAAUGGAAACACAAGGGCAGCCCCUUCUCUCUCCUAUACCCAACAGAGACAUUAAUAAUCUAUCAUAGCUUUUUUUUAAUUGAAGUAAUUGUAGAUUCACAUGCAGUUGUAAGAAAUAAUACAGAGAGAUUCCAUGUACAUUUUAUCUACUUUCACCCAAUGGUAACAUUUUACAAAACUAUAGUAUAAUAUCACAACCAAAACAUUGACGUUGAUACAAUCCACCAGUCUUAUUCAGAUUUCCAGUUUUACUUGUUCUUGUGUGUGUAUUAAGUUCUAUGCAGUUUUAUUAUCUGUGUAAAUUCGUAUAUCUACCACUACAGUCAAGAUAAUUGAACAGGGGCUGGCCCCGUGGCCGAGUGGUUAAGUUCACAUGCUCCACUUUGGCGGCCCCGGGUUUCACCAGUUUGGAUCCUGGCCAUGGACGUGGCACGUCUCAUUAGGCCACACUGAGGUGGUGCCCCACAUGCCACAAGUAGAAGGACCCACAACUAAAAUAUACCACUAUGUACUGGGGGGAUUUGAGGAGAAAAAGCAGGAAAAAAAACCUGAACAGUUUUAACACCACAAAGAUUCCUCAUGUUGCCCUUUUAUAAUCAUGCCCAUCUCACCCCUCCUUAACCCUUGAGAACCACUAAUCUAUCCUCCACUUCUAAAAUUCUGUUGUUUCAAAAAUGAAGUCAUAUACUAUGUAACUUUUUAGGCUUGGCUUCUUUUCAGCAUAAUUCCCUGAAGAUUCAUCCAAGUUUUUGUAUGUAUCAAUGGUUCAGUCUUUUUAUUUAUGCCAUGGUAUGAAUGUACCACAGUUUGUUUAACCAUUCACCUGUUAAAGGACACUGUACUCUCCCUUUGUAUUCACUAGAAAUUAAUGAAGUAGCUCAUUUUAUGUGGUGUGUUGUGUGUUUCAUAUUCACAAUUAUUAAGCUUAUUAACUCUUCAAGCAUGGCACUAUGAUUAUAUCCACUUUAUAGAUGAGGAAAAUUGAGGCUCACAGUAAAUGAUUUUCUCGCAAUUACAUGCUGUUAAAUGGCAAAGAGCCUGGAACCCAGGAUAAUAGGGCUCUUCCACUAAACCAGGCCUUCUCAGACCUUGCUUAAGGUUGCUGGGAAGAGGGUGUGGGUGGAACCAGAAGAGAGAUGUUGGGGCAGGAAGAAUACUGGAGCAGCCUGGGUCAAUUGAGGUCCUCACAGCUAACUUUGGUUCAUAGGUUAGAAGAUAAACAGUGUCAUGGAACAGGGGGCAACAUGGUAUGAGCCUUUGAAAUUGUUUCCCCCUUGCCAGGGAAGAACAAGGCUAAAGUGGAUGGAGCCCAUGAGCAAUCUGCCCACAGACCUGGGACCUGGAAUGAGAAAGGGAGGAGCUAGCCUUUAGGUGUCUAUCAGAGAAUGAGUAGUCAAGGCUGUCCUUGAAAAUGUGAAGUUGAAUGUGUCUCUAAUGAGGUCUGAAGAAAUUGAGGCCCAUAACAACAAGUGAGCUCUCUAUUCUGGAUGGAAAAGGGAGAUAGUAGCACUUUUUUGGGGAGGCAAGGGGGACUACAGGUCAUUAACACACACACAUAAACCUUGGGCAGGCUCAGUGUCAGGAACAUGGUACAAGGGGCAAGCAGAGUAGAAGCAAAAAUGCUAGACCAACACUUACUGCUGACUACCACUGCACUUUCCCUCCAACUGAAGUCAUGGACAGCUAAGUCAGAAGGAGCUGGAGAAAUUGUUUGGUCUGUCCCUCAGCCUCUGGGCACUGGUUGAAGCUGACAGGUGGAAACCUAGAGUUGGCUCAGACAUGAUGGAUGGUAGAGAUGCCAACUUGCAAGAGAGAAGGUUUGGCUCCUCUCCUGGGAGCUGUGUCUGGUCAAAGGCUGCCUCCUCCCACCUCCUGCUGGAACCAGCUCCUUUAUAGUUGAUGUUACCAUUGCUCCCUUGGCCUAUUCCAGUGGCUGUGGACUCAUAACAAUUUUCCCCAUCUACUUACAGCUUUAGAACCAGGCCAAGAGCAUGUAUCACUCUUCUCCAUCUCUUUUGGCUCAUCAGAAAUGGCAUAUCUUCUCCCAGUGGGACGCACCAUGCUUACCCAGUAAUUCCAGUCAUGGAGAAUAAAUACCGAGGCCUUCACAAUUUAUAGGGACUACAUUGCAUUGUUGAAACAACCAGAGAUAUCCAUUCUGAAUGUCUUUUUGUUGGAAAUUCUUAGACAAAGAGAAACCACUCUUUACCAGCUCUUAUGCCUACUGAGAUUUCCUGACUGCCAGAGGUCCUAAGUGUGGCUAGAAGAAAGCUACCUUCCCUUGGAGCCAAGAUGGUUCCUAACCAGGAAAUCUCAGGACCCCCCACUUACUCCCUUUCCUUGACUGCCCCUCUAGUCUAGGUCCCCUCCUCUUCUGCCACCACUCCCUUCCCAUUCCUCCUUUCUCUUCUACUCUCUCUCUCAGCAAGUUUUUUAUGUGAUUACAGGCACUGCAUGGUAAUUAGUGCUAAACUCAUUUGCACAACUACAGUUAAUUGGCUACAACAAUUAAUUAAUGUGUUGGAAAUUUGGCACUGGAAAAAAAAAGUUUGUCAUCAAAAAAAGGGCAAAAAAUUGUAGAGUGAAAUACCCAUAAAAAUCGAGGGCAGGCUUCAAAAGCCCAGCUGGGCCUCAAACUUCAGGCCGGCCUCAGAUGCCUUCCCAUUCUCAACUUCAAUAUGUUUUCUUCUUUCCUCUGUUUUUUUUUUUCCUCUUUCUUUCUCUAUUUCUCUUCUCUCUCUCUUUUUUUUUUUUUUUUUUUACAACUUAAGCAAACUCAUUUCCCUGAUAAAAUAUAGCAUGACUAAUGGCUAGAGCAUGUAAAAAUCAUUGGGAAAAUGUCCUUGGAAGACGAAUGCAUUUUCAGCAGAAUAAUUAACUUAAUUAACAAAUUCACAUGCAUAUUCAUCAGGCUAUUAAUGUCUUCUCGGCUCAGCUUGAUGAACAUUGCGGUAAUAACCAUCUCAUUUACAUACUGCAUUCUACUGCGAUCCAAAACAGAGACAACAUACAGGCAUACACACACACACACACACACACACUUGCUUGAAUACACACAACAUGCCUGGGCCGCUUUGACUUCCAGGUUGGCUGGGAGUGUGUGUGUGUGUGUGUGUGUGAGUGUGUGAGUGAGGCAGAGGGGUGGAUGGGAACCUAACUAGAUGGUGUGAUCUUGAGAGGGUCAUGAGUGCGGUGGGCUAGGGAUGCCAACGUGUGGAUGUGGAUAUCUGAGAGAACUUUAAUUCUCUCUCUCUCUGUCUCUCUCUGUCUCACUCUGCCUCUUAUUCCUUGUUUCUUUUUCUCUGUGUCAUUUUCUUUCUUCUUCUCGCGCACCCUCCCCCCCAUGUCUCUCUAGGGAAAAACUUGGUAUCGGUGCCAACUUUUUACCCCUUCCCCUCCUCCCUCACUCUCCUCCUUCCCCUCUCCCAACUGCUGCCAGCCGGCAUCAGCGCCGAAUUGCCAUCUCCUUGAGCUCUCUGUGGAGCAAUCUCAGAGAGCAGUAAGGUGUGACGCGAGGCUCUGCCGGCUUCGCAGCAACCGCCUGCGGAAAGAACGCAGGAUGGCGGAGGAAGAUUAAGAGAAAUCGCGAGCAGGGCUCGGCUGCAAUUGGUGUGUGCAAACGCCGAAGAGGAAGGGAGAGGGAGAGCGAGGAGGGAGGGUAGAAGUGGGGGAGGAACCAGCAGCUGUCGGCCUAAUUCUUCUAACACUCUGCUUGUGGUCAUAUUAGAAAAACAGAUUAUGCCCCUCGGUGCCACUCACUUAUACUUGACAUACGUUAAUGUUCUAUAUCUCCAUUCUCGGGUCUUGACGUCGGUGGACUUAGGGUCAAGGAGGAUGGUGUUCUGGGUGGCCAAGGGGCACAAAAGAUCCUGCCUCUACGUUUUUCCUGACCUCCAACCCUAGUCUGUAGUAGCCCUUUAGAAAGCAAGCCUGGGCCCAGAAUUUGCAUCUGAUGCCACCCUUUGGCCCAGCUUUUUGCAGCCCCAUAAGAGGUGCAGAGGUCAGAGGACACCUGGAAGCCCUUUCCCCUAAAAGUAACUCCCCAUUUAGAGUCUUAAUAGGUCACUUUAGGGCCAAAUGAGACUAGCUUUGUAGCACUCCUACCCCUAACAUUUCUAGGGCCCUCCCCCUUAAAUCAGAAGUUGGGGGUCAGAGAAAGCUAUCUGUGGCAAUCAGUGCUCCCUGAGGGGGUUACAGAGAAGCCAGAAGCAAACAAGGCCAGGAUUGUUUCUGGGUUGCUAUGGAAACCAGGUUCCCGCCUCCUGGCAGGAUGGGAGGCGUGCCUGAGGCCUUCCUCUUUCUACCAAUCCUGAAGGCUAUAAAGGUGGAGUUUACCAAGGCCUGGGGCAUAGGGAUGGUCUUGGAGGACAAACCAACCAUUCCCAGCAGCCCUGCUUGUCAGUCCAUAGCCCUUUGACCCCCACCUUCCCUACCCUCUCACCCCAAUAUUCAGUCAGAGGAGACUUUUUCCACACAGUAUCUGUCCUCUAUGGAGACCUGUUGCUUAGCAACCACUAGUGCCUUCUUCCUAAUAACUUGCAGGGACUGAGAUAUAAUAUCUGUCUCUCCAUAUUCAGUUUCCCUCCUCUGUCUAUUUAUAUUUAAUAACUGAAGGCCUGUCUUGGGUUCCUUUGGCACAUGUUUUAGAGGACUUUUAGAGGAUUAAGCUGUAGCCUGAAGAAAUAAAGUUACACCUGAGGAAGAACUUCCAAACAGGGAAGAGUGGGAGAAAAGACCGGAGUAGGUAGGGAAGCUGUGGAAUCAUACUCUCUUAAGUAUAGGUAGAGAGAAAAAAUUUAGAACUUGGAAUGUGGGGAGGGAAUGUCUACAGGGAUUCCCAAGGGUGCUCUCCUGGACCUGGAGUAGACCUAACAGAGCUGCUUCCUGGGCUAGCAUUUUCCAUUCCCCAUACUCUGCCCUGCCCCUCCUUGCUGACCACUUCAAGUCUAGAGCCCUCUCAUAUUUCUAUAUGUGGGAGGCCCAUCCCUCUGAGGAUGCCCAGUUUCCUAGUAUCUAGAUGUUGGUAUCCAGGAAGAGGGGCUGUGUCAGUGUGUGUCCAGCAAGGUGUGGGUGUCUUCCAAAGUUUUUCAGUCACAGGGAGGGAGUUCUUCUGAGCUCUCUACUAGAAAACUCCAGACCUGAUCAAGCACAAAGCUGUCUAGGGAGAGUAGCAAUGUCCCUAUAAUCUUCCCCACCUCCAGUCCCAACCUCUGACCUCUAGUUCUCCCUGCUGACACCCCACCCUGACCUGCUACCCUUCUCCCCAGUCAGCACCUUCACUGCCAUCGUGCUAGCUCACAGACUGUACGAUUUCACCCUCCAUACCCUGCUUCUCGGCACCUCCUCCAACCCGAGCCUUCUGUAGGAGACAGAUGGGAUGUCUGUGAUGGAAAAGGCUCUGGGCUCUACGCCGCCUUGGGUGGGCAGCCCCCUCCCUAUCUCCCCACUACUCCCUCUCCCUACCUAAGACACUUAGAUUCACCCCAGGCAGCUUUGGGAACUGCUGAGGAUUCCAACUCUCUUCCCUUCUCAGACUUGGCCCCAGAAGCAGAGCCAGAAUUGCAUCCUUCUCCAAGUCUAGACUUCAACCCCUCUUCAUGGAAGACCAAUGCAAAGGAGGAAGUAGGUUAGGGAAUGGUAGGGCUCCAUGUGAAGGGACUAAUGUGGAGAGGCAGGAGAGGCCCAGAGUCCCUGAAUGAGGACUGGAUGGCUAAGGUUUGGGGCCUAAGUUGACAGAGGAGGCUGAGCCUAGGCAGUUCCUUUGCUCCAGAAAUCUGGGGUCCCUGGAGGGAGGCUCAGCCUGGGGAGGGGGGAAAGGGAGCUAACCUUACAGAGCACCAACUGUGAGCCAGGCAUGAUGCCAGAGCCUUUUCAUACCUGUACUCAACUAGCAGGUGAGAAGUCAGGGUGAAUAGGUGUCUCAUGAGUCUUAGCAUCUCUCAGCACAGCUGACCACCUCCUCCUUUGAUUCUAUGAUAUCAUUGCCAAUUCUUCCACCGCUCUAGCUGCUCUUUCUUUGUCUCCUUUGCAAGCUCAUCCUCAACUUCUUAGACUUAGCCAAGUCCCCUAAUUAUACACUUUUAUGGUACUAUAUAUCCUUAUUUCAGAGCACUUAGCACAGUUAUUUCACACUUAUAUGUGCAGUCAUUUGAAUAAUGAUUCUAUUUCUCCCACCAGAUGGAAAGUUGCACAAGGACAGUGACCACAUCUGACCGUGUUCAUCAGUGUGCUCCCAGUGCCCAGCACAGUGCCUCGCAUAAAGCGGCUGUUUGGAAACAAGAAGAGAAGGCCCAGAGAAGAGAAGAGGGAAGAUGGAACUCCAUGAAGACACUCAUGUGCAACAUACACUAGUGCACAAUGGGAUAUGUGCACACAGCUGUGUGUGCAGGUCAGGAUGCUUGCUGAGGCCCCCUGUAGCACGUAUACACACAGCUCGCACAUCACCCAGGCAUGGAGAGGAAUUAUUCACAUAUGCAGGCCAGUCUUUCCUCCUAUAUUCAGGCCACUGUCCUAACCAGAACAAGCUGGUUUCUGCAAGUUGCUAGCCUGAGCUGUGCCCCAGGUUUUUCCCAUAAAUCCUAAUGCACCAGCAUUCCCCAGCUCCUGGCAGCUACCUGGAGUCAACCGUAGCAGUGACAGAGCCAGACAGCAACUCUGCCAGGAUAGGGGUGGAGGGCACCUGCGCUCAUCCUGUGCACCUGUCUUGGCUACAGUGUGGUGCCUUCUCUGGUGAUUAUCAGAUGACAGGUUCAGACAUCUCACCUGGGAGAGAGAUGAGACAUCUCACCUCAUCUCACCUCUCACCUGGCAUAGCCUUGGUUCAGAGGAAAGAGGGGGCUAAUAGGAGGUGAGAGAGGCAGAAUAUGUGCUUCUCUGUGACCCCCUUUCAUCUUUACCUGUCUCCAGGAGAUAGGUGACCCCCCAUUAUCAGGAAACACUUCUCAAGUGCCUACCCUCUAGGAAACACUAUGCUUAGUUUAGCACAGUGCCUCACAAUUUUCUGGGCUGGGUUGAUAACAGCCCCAAGAAUCUGGAUGUGCUGUCCCCAUUGGAGGAUCCACAGUAACUUGCAUGGUAACCUCAACCUUACCCAUGUUAGGCUGCCAGGCCAAGGGAUGCUCCCUGACCUUCUCCAGGAUUCCCCCUCCCUCAAGGAAGGAGCCAGCUUCUCCACAGACUGGUGUGGCUGCCAGCCAAGAGGCUUGGGGCAGGCCUGGGGCAUGCAGCUGGCACCUGCCCACCAGAUCCCUAAGGAGCACCCUCCUCCUCCACUCCAUAGCACCAUUCAGAUGGCUCCUGGGCUACAGGGAGGCAGAGCUCACCACUCCCCAUUCUCAGAGAAAACCUCAAGCUGGAAAGCCCAUCACCACCCUUUCCACUGUAAUCUGCUCUAAGAUCCUCCACCAGACUAGAUAUACUAAAGACCCACUAGGUACUUUUUCCAAGCAGGACCAAACACUUAACACAGUAGGGGUUGGUCUGGGGCUAGGUAAGGGGCCUUGAGGUGUGGGACCUGGGCUGGAAUUAUGGGAGGAGUUGCUGAGGUCAAGAGAUGGAUGAGGAAGAACUUGAUGGGAGUGAGAUACGAUGGGGGACAUGAAGAGAAGGGGCUGAGUGAAUUUGCCUCUCUCAUCUAAUUAGUGGUAUGCAAAUGAUAUGCAAAUGACCCCCUCUUUGUUUUGAGACCACAGGGCCUAUGCUUUUUGGAAGUGGGCUACAGAGGGACUACCAGGCAGCGUCUCUGAGGCCUUCAGAUAUGGGACACCCAGGCUCAAGAGGGAGGCCAGAGUGCAGCCAUCUGGUUCUAGCUUAUUUCCUGGAC
This 12340-nucleotide long non-coding RNA is filed under the name Equus asinus (donkey). RNAcentral's name for it is "lncRNA (ENSEASG00005031002.1)". Lineage: Eukaryota; Metazoa; Chordata; Mammalia; Perissodactyla; Equidae. The record is from RNAcentral.